UCACAUGAUGAAUAAGAGCUUUGCUCGAUAAUCCCAGCUCGUCGAUGGCCUCAUUAUUAUAAUCCAACCAGAGGUCAUAUGAGAUGAAGUCCCGUCUGAUUAG
Molecule: small nucleolar RNA, 103 nt
Filed under: Aspergillus ruber CBS 135680
Lineage: Eukaryota; Fungi; Ascomycota; Eurotiomycetes; Eurotiales; Aspergillaceae
Description: A. fumigatus snoRNA Afu_304
Rfam family: A. fumigatus snoRNA Afu_304
Source: Rfam by way of RNAcentral